Molecule: ribosomal RNA, 241 nt
Filed under: uncultured bacterium
Lineage: Bacteria
Description: partial 16S ribosomal RNA
Rfam family: Bacterial small subunit ribosomal RNA
Source: RNAcentral
AGGGGGCAAGCGUUAUCCGGAUUUACUGGGUGUAAAGGGAGCGUAGGCGGCACUGCAAGUCUGGAGUGAAAGCCCGGGGCUCAACCCCGGGACUGCUUUGGAAACUGUGGUGCUAGAGUGCAGGAGAGGAAAGUGGAAUUCCCAGUGUAGCGGUGAAAUGCGUAGAUAUUGGGAGGAACACCAGUGGCGAAGGCGACUUACUGGACUGAAACUGACGCUGAGGCUCGAAAGCGUGGGGAGC